CCUACGGGAGGCAGCAGUGGGGAAUAUUGCACAAUGGGGGAAACCCUGAUGCAGCGACGCCGCGUGAGUGAAGAAGUAUCUCGGUACGUAAAGCUCUAUCAGCAGGGCAGAAAAUGACGGUACCUGACUAAGAAGCCCCGGCUAACUACGUGCCAGCAGCCGCGGUAAUACGUCGGGGGCAAGCGUUAUCCGGAUUUACUGGGUGUAAAGGGAGCAUCGACGGCAGCACAGGUCUGGAGUGAAAUCCCGGGGCUUAACCCCGGAACUGCUUUGGAAACUGGGCGGCUGGAGUGCAGGAGGGGUAAGCGGAAUUCCUAGUGUAGCGGUGAAAUGCGUAGAUAUUAGGAGGAACACCGGUGGCGAAGGCGGCUUACUGGACUGUAACUGACGUUGAGGCUCGAAAGCGUGGGGAGCAAACAGGAUUAGAUACCCGUGUAGUC
RNAcentral lists this ribosomal RNA (440 nucleotides) under uncultured bacterium. RNAcentral's name for it is "partial 16S ribosomal RNA". It matches the Rfam family "Bacterial small subunit ribosomal RNA", at positions 338 to 795 of the family's 1533-position model. The record is from RNAcentral.